GCCAGCGUGGCUCAAAGGCAGAGCAACUGAUUUGUAAUCAGUGGGUUGCAGGUUCGAUUCCUGUCGCUGGCU
Molecule: transfer RNA, 72 nt
Filed under: Coriobacterium glomerans PW2
Lineage: Bacteria; Bacillati; Actinomycetota; Coriobacteriia; Coriobacteriales; Coriobacteriaceae
Rfam family: tRNA
About the family: Transfer RNA (tRNA) molecules are approximately 80 nucleotides in length. Their secondary structure includes four short double-helical elements and three loops (D, anti-codon, and T loops).
Source: Rfam by way of RNAcentral